GAUGAACGCUGGCGGCGUGCCUAAUACAUGCAAGUCGAGCGGACGGACGAGAAGCUUGCUUCUCUGAUGUUAGCGGCGGACGGGUGAGUCACACGUGGAUAACCUACCUAUAAGACUGGGAUAACUUCGGGAAACCGGAGCUAAUACCGGAUAAUAUUUUGAACCGCAUGGUUCAAAAGUGAAAGACGGUCUUGCUGUCACUUAUAGAUGGAUCCGCGCUGCAUUAGCUAGUUGGUAAGGUAACGGCUUACCAAGGCAACGAUGCAUAGCCGACCUGAGAGGGUGAUCGGCCACACUGGAACUGAGACACGGUCCAGACUCCUACGGGAGGCAGCAGUAGGGAAUAUUCCGCAAAGGGCGAAAGCCUGACGGAGCAACGCCGCGUGAGUGAUGAAGGUCUUCGGAUCGUAAAACUCUGUUAUUAGGGAAGAACAUAUGUGUAAGUAACUGUGCACAUCUUGACGGUACCUAAUCAGAAAGCCACGGCUAACUACGUG
This 497-nucleotide ribosomal RNA is filed under the name uncultured bacterium. RNAcentral describes it as "partial 16S ribosomal RNA". It matches the Rfam family "Bacterial small subunit ribosomal RNA", at positions 28 to 507 of the family's 1533-position model. The record is from RNAcentral.